RNAcentral lists this ribosomal RNA (424 nucleotides) under uncultured bacterium. RNAcentral's name for it is "bacterial SSU rRNA". It matches the Rfam family "Bacterial small subunit ribosomal RNA", at positions 355 to 787 of the family's 1533-position model. The record is from RNAcentral.
UGGGGGAUAUUGCACAAUGGGCGAAAGCCUGAUGCAGCGACGCCGCGUGAGGGAAGACGGUUUUCGGAUUGUAAACCUCUGUCGAGGGGGACGAAGGAAGUGACGGUACCCCUUGAGGAAGCCACGGCUAACUACGUGCCAGCAGCCGCGGUAAUACGUAGGUGGCAAGCGUUGUCCGGAAUUACUGGGUGUAAAGGGAGCGUAGGCGGGGAUGCAAGUUGAAAUGUAUAAAACGGCCGGCUCAACCGGCCGAAGCGUUCAAAAACUGCAUUUCUUGAGUGGAGUAGAGGCAGGCGGAAUUCCUAAGUGUAGCGGUGAAAAUGCGUAGAUAUUAGGAGGAACACCAGUGGCGAAGGCGGCCUGCUGGGCUCUAACUGACGCUGAGGCUCGAAAAGCGUGGGUAGCAAAACAGGAUUAGAUACCC